This is a long non-coding RNA of Esox lucius (northern pike), 547 nucleotides long. The record is from Ensembl. NCBI's taxonomy places the organism in Eukaryota, Metazoa, Chordata, Actinopteri, Esociformes, Esocidae.
GGGACUUAUUAAGGACUGGAUUUAGUUUUAAGGGAAGGGGGGCAGGGGAUAUCCAGGUGGGUGAUUAUGGGUGGAGGGGGGGCAGUUGGAGGUGUACAGGGGAUAUCCAGGUGGGUGAUUAUGGGUGGAGGGGUACAGGGGAUAUCCAGGUGGGUGAUUAUGGGUGGAGGGGUACAGGGGAUAUCCAGGUGGGUGAUUAUGGGUGGAGGGGUACAGGGGAUAUCCAGGUGGGUGAUUAUGGGUGGAGGGGUACAGGGGAUAUCCAGGUGGGUGAUUAUGGGUGGAGGGGUACAGGGGAUAUCCAGGUGGGUGAUUAUGGGUGGAGGGGUACAGGGGAUAUCCAGGUGGGUGAUUAUGGGUGGAGGGGUACAGGGGAUAUCCAGGUGGGUGAUUAUGGGUGGAGGGGGGCACUUCUCAGUCUGAAGUGUCUGAGUGUACACUGCUCUGUGCCUUGGUGGGAGGGUGGGGGUCCGGGCCGUCCUGCCUUCCACUGUUAACCUGUAAAAGACACAAUGGGGGAGGGAGUGAGAGAGGAGACCAAGACUUC